RNAcentral lists this ribosomal RNA (503 nucleotides) under uncultured bacterium. RNAcentral describes it as "bacterial SSU rRNA". It matches the Rfam family "Bacterial small subunit ribosomal RNA", at positions 27 to 518 of the family's 1533-position model. The record is from RNAcentral.
UGGCGUCAGGAGUGAACGCUGGCGGCGUGCCUAACACAUGCAAGUCGAACGAAGCUUAUCUUUUGGAGGACUUCGGUCCAAAGAAAGAUAAGACUGAGUGGCGGACGGGUGAGUAACGCGUGGGUAACCUGCCUCAUACAGGGGGAUAACACUCAGAAAUGGGUGCUAAUACCCCAUAAGCGCACACGACCACAUGGUCGAGUGUGAAAAACUCCGGUGGUAUGAGAGGGACCCGCGUCUGAUUAGAUAGUUGGCAGGGUAACGGCCUACCAAGUCUACGAUCAGUAGCCGGCCUGAGAGGGUGAACGGCCACAUUGGGACUGAGACACGGCCCAAACUCCUACGGGAGGCAGCAGUGGGGAAUCUUGCACAAUGGACGAAAGCCUGAAUGCAGCGACGCCGCGUGAAGGAAGAAGUAUUUCGGUAUGUAAACUUCUAUCAGCAGGGAAGAAAAUGACGGUACCUGACUAAGAAGCCCCGGCUAACUACGUGCCAGCCGCUGC